CUGGCAGAAUGGUGAGCGCGCCAUGCAAAAUGUCUAGCUGUAUUUCGUUCGCCUUUACGUUCUGAGUUCAAAUUCAGUCGAGGUCGACUUUGCCUUUCAUCCUUUCGGGGUCAAUAAAUUAAGUACCAGUUACGCACUGGGGUCGAUGUAAUCGACUUAAU
Octopus sinensis (East Asian common octopus) is the source of this 161-nucleotide long non-coding RNA. RefSeq lists it as uncharacterized. NCBI's taxonomy places the organism in Eukaryota, Metazoa, Mollusca, Cephalopoda, Octopoda, Octopodidae. The record is from RefSeq and is a predicted model, not a curated record. The transcript has 3 exons.